CAAUAGGUGGCUGAGCGGUCAAAAGCGCUUGUUUGGAGAACAAGUUUUUCGUGGGUUCGAAUCCUGCCCUAUCCU
Naegleria fowleri is the source of this 75-nucleotide non-coding RNA. Lineage: Eukaryota; Heterolobosea; Eutetramitea; Acrasida; Naegleriidae. The record is from the annotation of a RefSeq genome assembly.